UUCUGGUGCGUUUUCACGCUGCGUGCAUCUUCACUUUCACACUGCAUUUCUAAUUCUUCCUCGACAAGCUCCUCUAUUUUCAGCGCAGAGUUCAAAACCGUCAACGUCUGCAACGCCGCGACCCUUUCCAGUUCGCCAAAUCAUUGCUUCACUUCCGCGCACGACUUCACUUUCACGCUGCACUUCUUCUCCUUUGCUUCUAAUUCGCCAUUAUCGUCGAAUGCCACCAUCGUGCCUUCCAAAACGCAACAACAACAAGCACAAGAGCAUGCCUCUCCUCCUCUCUCUCCCCGGGUUCGAUUGUGUCGAAUCGCGAUGCUCAGUCCUUGCUUCCUCUAACAGUGAAGCAAAUAUACGAUGCGCUUCAAACAAACGAUGAUAAAGCCAAUUUGAUUGUUGACGGUGUGGACGUUAAUAAUGUACGUUCUCCUUGAAUCUCUGUUGGUUAAUUUGGUUAAAGUUUGGACGUUCUGACAAUUAGAGUCCAAGUUACUCUUAUAGGAAGGGUAUGCAACAAAGCCGAACGAGUUACUGAUGUUACGUUUGUGCUUGAUGAUGGUACUGGAAGAUUAAAUGUAAUAAAUGGUUUCAUGAAGCUACUGAUACAAAUGAAGCAGAGGCUAUCUUGCAUACAAGCAACAAAUAUAUCAGACUUGGCAUUUGAAGCAAGAUUUUGCAUGUGGUCAUGGCAAAACCUUUUGCUGGGAUUCAGUUUCCUACUAUUCCUGUCGACAACAAGGCACAUUGUGGUUUGUUAUGAAAAAGAAAUGAAGAACCUAAUUUGAUCAAAUGCAUUAUAGAAUUUGAAACAAAUACAUGAUCACAUCCUUCAAUUUUCCAAGAGAAGUGAACCUUCUAUAUGACUCAGCCUGUGAAACUACUCUGAUUAUACCAAAGGAGUAAUAUGCUUCCAAUUCGUGUCAAGCUACAAAUGAGGAGGAAGUCUUCAAAAUUCUAAAUGAAAGAUCCCUUUAUCCUAUAGGAUGGAUUCAUGUAUGUCUUCCUAUCUUUGGAAGGGUUUGUGACUGUCUUUAUCUCUAUAGGAGUAGGAUUUGGUGUGAUUGAUUACAACUUGUCAUCUAUAUUGAACUUGUCAUCUAUACUGAAAGACUAACCCGUGCAUUAGAAAUUUUGAAGAAGUCAAUUGUAGACUCUAGUGGACACUUUAUUUUCGUUAACGGCUCAGAUGUCUCUCCAUUUCAAUGGUCUAAUGAGCAUUCCUUUUUUGUUACUAUUAUUCUGUUACACAUUACUAUUUUUCUGGGGUAAAUAAGUUCCACAUUUAGUGUUAAUUUCUUUAUGAUUCUUUUGUACUAUUCAUGCACAUAAAAAGAUUAAACAAGAUAUAGUAGCAAUAAUUUGACUUUGAGAGGGUGGCCACUCACUGUGAGUAAUUCUGUUUAAUUUGUUUUUUUUAUGUGAAUUAAUAUUACCUAUCCUAGUGAAGGCCAUAUUAUGUCUUGUUUUUUUUUUGUGAAUUAAUAUUACCUAUCCUAGUGAAGGCCAUAUUAUGUCCUGUUGAAUGUGAUAUCAUAUUUUGAC
Long non-coding RNA from Vigna angularis (adzuki bean), 1542 nucleotides. RefSeq lists it as uncharacterized. The record is from RefSeq and is a predicted model, not a curated record. Lineage: Eukaryota; Viridiplantae; Streptophyta; Magnoliopsida; Fabales; Fabaceae. The transcript has 7 exons.